AUGGAACAUGCGAUGCCCACGAUGGCCGCGGAGUCCGAGGGCGCCACCACCGACGACGACGUGCACCUCUCCCCGACCAGCGUCAGCAGCGGUGGUGGAGGAGGAGGAGGCGGCCCCCCCAGCGUCCGCUUCAAGAUACUCUGCAGCUUCGGCGGCCGCAUCAUGCCCCGCCCGUCCGACGGCGCGCUCAAGUACAUUGGCGGCGACACCCGCGUCCUCGCCGUGCCCCGCUCCAUCCGCUUCCGCGAUUUGAAGAAGAAGGUGGAGGAGAUGUUCAAGACGGAUGUGGCGGCCAUCAAGUACCAGCUGCUCUCCUCCGACGACCUCGACGUGCUCGUCUCCGUCACCUGCGACGAGGACCUGGCCCACAUGCUCGACGAGUACGACCGGUUCGAGGCGAAGCGGUCGCCGUCCGCGUCGCCCCGUUUCCGCGUCUACGUCUUCGUGCCGCACCAGGUCUCCGCCUCGUCGGUCGCCGCCGCCGUCCCCGCCCCCGUCGCCUCUUCGCGCCACGUCAGCUACGCCCGCAACCAGCCGCACUACCAUCCCCACCACCACCACCUCCAGCCGGAGCGGGAGCGCUACGUGGCCUCGGUGCCCGGCACGCCCGACGGAAGCCCGCCGUACCCGGACCAGCCCAACGGCGUCGCCUCGGCGGGUAACUCCCCGCGCGCCAACAUCGUGGAGCAGGCCGUGUUCCGCGGCGGGAUGCAGCGCGUCCGGAGCUCGCCCAACCUCGGCGGCCUGAACGCGGCACUGCUACCCUUCCAUGACCACGCCGGGGACAGCCCCGGAGGCCUGGCUGGAUACAUGAGCGGCUCGCCCGUGCACCCGGGCGGCGGCCACAUAUUCUCGCAGGGCAGCUACAACCCCUACCGCAGCCCGCAGCCGCAGUACUCUCCAGCGCCCGUGCCCGUGCCGCACCACGCCGGCGUGGCCGGGAGGUACGACGCGCGUGGCGGUUACGCGCGGGGCGGCAGCUACAUGGCGGCGCCGCUGGCGCCAGCGCUCCGGUCUGGCCGGCCGGUCACCAGGAGCGGCGGGGCGCCGUACAGCGAGAUGCAGGCGCCGAAGAAGACGGCGACGAUAUGGGACUGA
Molecule: ribosomal RNA, 1098 nt
Filed under: Triticum aestivum (bread wheat)
Lineage: Eukaryota; Viridiplantae; Streptophyta; Magnoliopsida; Poales; Poaceae
Description: partial small subunit ribosomal RNA
Source: RNAcentral